UUACUGGGCGUAAAGCGCACGCAGGCGGUCUGUCAAGUCGGAUGUGAAAUCCCCGGGCUCAACCUGGGAACUGCAUUCGAAACUGGCAGGCUUGAGUCUUGUAGAGGGGGGUAGAAUUCCAGGUGUAGCGGUGAAAUGCGUAGAGAUCUGGAGGAAUACCGGUGGCGAAGGCGGCCCCCUGGACAAAGACUGACGCUCAGGUGCGAAAGCGUGGGGAGCAAACAGGAUUAGAUACCCUGGUAGUCCACGCCGUAAACGAUGUCUACUUGGAGGUUGUGCCCUUGAGGCGUGGCUUCCGGAGCUAACGCGUUAAGUAGACCGCCUGGGGAGUACGGCCGCAAGGUUAAAACUCAAAUGAAUUGACGGGGGCCCGCACAAGCGGUGGAGCAUGUGGUUUAAUUCGAUGCAACGCGAAGAACCUUAC
Molecule: ribosomal RNA, 424 nt
Filed under: Salmonella enterica
Lineage: Bacteria; Pseudomonadati; Pseudomonadota; Gammaproteobacteria; Enterobacterales; Enterobacteriaceae
Also listed under: 2 other names
Description: bacterial SSU rRNA
Rfam family: Bacterial small subunit ribosomal RNA
Source: RNAcentral